GUAUCUAAGGUUAAGGGGCUUGAUACUGUAUCUAAGGGGCUUUAUACUGUAUCUAAGGUUAAGGGGCUUUAUACUGUAUCUAAGGGGCUUUAUACUGUAUCUAAGGUUAAGGGGCUUUAUACUGUAUCUAAGGGGCUUAAUACUGUAUCUAAGGGGCUUUAUACUGUAUCUAAGGUUAAGGGGCUUUAUACUGUAUCUAAGGGGCUUCAUACUGUAUCUAAGGUUAAGGGGCUUUAUACUGUAUCUAUGGGGCUUCAUACUGUAUCUAAGGUUAAGGGCUUUAUACUGUAUCUAAGGUUAAGGGUCUUUAUACUGUAUCUAAGGGGCUUUAUACUGUAUCUAAGGGGCUUCAUACUGUAUCUAAGGUUAAGGGGCUUCAUACUGUAUCUAAGGUUAAGGGCUUUAUACUGUAUCUAAGGGGCUUUAUACUGUAUCUAAGGUUAAGGGGCUUUAUACUGUAUCUAAGGGGCUUCAUACUGUAUCUAAGGUUAAGGGGCUUUAU
Long non-coding RNA from Clupea harengus (Atlantic herring), 502 nucleotides. The record is from Ensembl. Lineage: Eukaryota; Metazoa; Chordata; Actinopteri; Clupeiformes; Clupeidae.